This 118-nucleotide ribosomal RNA is filed under the name Phascolarctos cinereus (koala). Lineage: Eukaryota; Metazoa; Chordata; Mammalia; Diprotodontia; Phascolarctidae. The record is from RNAcentral.
ACUCAGGGCAUCCCAUUCUGAAUGUAUGUAAUCUUGUCAGAUCUUGGAAGCUGAGCAGGGUCAGGCCUGGUUAGUGCUUGGAUGGGAACCUACCUGGUAAUACUGAGUGCUGUUAGCU